CUGUGAAGCGGAGCAAAUCUCAAAAACCGGUCCCAGUUCGGAUUGUAGGCUGCAACUCGCCUACAUGAAGUCGGAGUUGCUAGUAAUCGCGGAUCAGAAUGCCGCGGUGAAUGCGUUCCCGGGUCUUGUACACACCGCCCGUCACACCAUGGAAGUUGGGGGCGCCCGAAGUUGCCUAAGAAAUAAGGUACCUAAGGCGAAACCAAUGACUGGGGUGAAGUCGUAACAAGGUAAC
This 235-nucleotide ribosomal RNA is filed under the name uncultured bacterium. RNAcentral's name for it is "partial 16S ribosomal RNA". It matches the Rfam family "Bacterial small subunit ribosomal RNA", at positions 1255 to 1500 of the family's 1533-position model. The record is from RNAcentral.